RNAcentral lists this ribosomal RNA (460 nucleotides) under uncultured bacterium. RNAcentral describes it as "partial 16S ribosomal RNA". It matches the Rfam family "Bacterial small subunit ribosomal RNA", at positions 338 to 795 of the family's 1533-position model. The record is from RNAcentral.
CCUACGGGAGGCAGCAGUGAGGAAUAUUGGUCAAUGGGCGCGAGCCUGAACCAGCCAAGUAGCGUGAAGGAAGACUGCCCUACGGAUUGUAAACUUCUUUUAUAAAGGAAUAAAGUGAGGCACGUGUGCCUUUUUGUAUGUACUUUAUGAUUAAGGAUCGGCUAACUCCGUGCCAGCAGCCGCGGUAAUACGGAGGAUCCGAGCGUUAUCCGGAUUUAUUGGGUUUAAAGGGAGCGUAGAUGGGUUGUUAAGUCAGUUGUGAAAGUUUGCGGCUCAACCGUAAAAUUGCACUUGAUACUGGCAGGCUUGAGUACAGGUGAGGUAGGCGGAAUUCGUGGUGUAGCGGUGAAAUGCUUAGAUAUCACGAAGAACUCCGAUUGCGAAGGCAGCUUACUAAACUGCCACUGACAUUGAUGCUCGAAGGUGUGGGUAUCAAACAGGAUUAGAUACCCCAGUAGUC